AUGAUGAAAGCCUAUGAUCGUGUGGAAUGGACUUAUCUUCAUGGUUGUUUAAGCACGCUUGGCUUUGCUCCUAUUUGGAUUGAAUCUAUCAUGAGAUGCGUAACCAAGGUCCGGUAUGCUGUUAGAGUUAAUGCUGAACUUACCGAUCCCGUUGUUCCUUCAAGGGGCAUCCGUCAGGGGGACCCCAUCAGUCCCUACUUGUUUCUUUUGUGCACCGAAGGCUUGUCGAGUUUGUUACUACAGAAGGAGACUUGUGGCGAGCUACAUGGUAUUCAAAAUGGCCGCUCUGGUCCACUUAUCUCACAUCUUCUGUUUGCCGAUGACAACAUUUUCUUUGCCAAAAGUGGCAAUCGUAGUGUGGCUACUUUGGAAUCUACUCUGCAUUUAUAUUGUGAAGGAUCGGGGCAACUUAUUAAUAACAAGUCCUCAAUCUUUUUUGAGAAGCAUUGUCUUGAUGUUGUGAAACAUCGUGUUAUGGCCAUGCUGGGUAUCAAUAAUGAAACUUUUCAUGACUCAUAUCUUGGAAUGCUUACUGAGUGGAGCGGUCUCCUAUCAACAUUGUCAAAUUCCUUCCUGAUAGAGCAUUUUCAAAUUCCUAUCAACAUUGGCUCGUAUUGGGCCAGCCAGUAG
Molecule: ribosomal RNA, 630 nt
Filed under: Triticum aestivum (bread wheat)
Lineage: Eukaryota; Viridiplantae; Streptophyta; Magnoliopsida; Poales; Poaceae
Description: partial small subunit ribosomal RNA
Source: RNAcentral